Firmicutes bacterium CAG:534 is the source of this 106-nucleotide regulatory RNA element. It matches the Rfam family "S10-Clostridia ribosomal protein leader". The record is from Rfam. NCBI's taxonomy places the organism in Bacteria, Bacillati, Bacillota.
UGAUAGCGUAGAAGCGUGAGGUUGCUGCUUUGCCGAGAGGCACUGCAGGUUUUCCGUGGAGCGAAUGUCAAGAGACCGGAAUUCCGGUCAAAGAACCUGACGGCAA